CAGGGAAUCUUCCACAAUGGGCGGAAGCCUGAUGGAGCAACGCCGCGUGUGUGACGAAGGGUUUCGGCUCGUAAAACACUGUUGUAAGAGAAGAAUGACAUUGAGAGUAACUGUUCAAUGUGUGACGGUAUCUUACCAGAAAGGAACGGCUAAAUACGUGCCAC
RNAcentral lists this ribosomal RNA (164 nucleotides) under uncultured bacterium. RNAcentral describes it as "partial 16S rRNA". It matches the Rfam family "Bacterial small subunit ribosomal RNA", at positions 355 to 511 of the family's 1533-position model. The record is from RNAcentral.